RNAcentral lists this long non-coding RNA (308 nucleotides) under Triticum aestivum (bread wheat). Its description in RNAcentral is "long non-coding RNA (TAES_LNC027212)". The record is from RNAcentral. Lineage: Eukaryota; Viridiplantae; Streptophyta; Magnoliopsida; Poales; Poaceae.
CACUAGAGAUAAUAAAUCUAAACAAAAUAGCACGUGGUGUCCUGAUAAUUUAGAUAUUAGCACGAUUUUGGUAAGAAAUAGUAGUACUGAGUUAUUUCAAUAGAUUUUGCUAUUUGAAACAUUCUAAUAACAUCUUUUUCCAAUGUUGUGUUGUUCUACAGGAUAAAGAUCCUAAGCCUUCAUGGGAUGUAAAGUAUCUCUUCUACAAUGGUGACUAAAACAUUUUGUGCACACAAAGGACCGGCUUCCAGGGCUAAUCAGUGGAGAGUCUAUCUUAAUUUUUGAAUACAUAUAGCGUGUUAAGGCGG